This 373-nucleotide ribosomal RNA is filed under the name uncultured bacterium. RNAcentral describes it as "bacterial SSU rRNA". It matches the Rfam family "Bacterial small subunit ribosomal RNA", at positions 527 to 898 of the family's 1533-position model. The record is from RNAcentral.
GUAGGGUGCGAGCGUUAAUCGGAAUUACUGGGCGUAAAGUGUGCGCAGGUGGCCGCGCAUGUCGAGUGUGAAAUCCCCGGGCUUAACUUGGGAAUUGCGCUCGAAACUACGUGGCUCGAGUGUGGCAGAGGAAGGUGGAAUUCCACGUGUAGCGGUGAAAUGCGUAGAGAUGUGGAGGAACACCGAUGGCGAAGGCAGCCUUCUGGGCCAACACUGACGCUCAUGCACGAAAGCGUGGGGAGCAAACAGGAUUAGAUACCCUGGUAGUCCACGCCCUAAACGAUGAUGACUAGUUGUUGGAGGAGUUAAAUCCUUUAGUAACGCAGCUAACGCGUGAAGUCAUCCGCCUGGGGAGUACGGUCGCAAGAUUAAA